UUGGACAAUGGGGGCAACCCUGAUCCAGCCAUGCCGCGUGAGUGAAGAAGGCCCUCGGGUUGUAAAGCUCUUUUGUCCGGAAAGAAAAGCUUCGGGUUAAUACCCCGGGGUUCUGACGGUACCGGAAGAAUAAGCACCGGCUAACUUCGUGCCAGCAGCCGCGGUAAUACGAAGGGUGCAAGCGUUACUCGGAAUUACUGGGCGUAAAGCGUGCGUAGGUGGUUGUUUAAGUCUGAUGUGAAAGCCCUGGGCUCAACCUGGGCAUGGCAUUGGAAACUGGGCAGCUAGAGUGCGGUAGAGGGUAGUGGAAUUCCCGGUGUAGCAGUGAAAUGCGUAGAGAUCGGGAGGAACAUCUGUGGCGAAGGCGA
Molecule: ribosomal RNA, 368 nt
Filed under: uncultured bacterium
Lineage: Bacteria
Description: bacterial SSU rRNA
Rfam family: Bacterial small subunit ribosomal RNA
Source: RNAcentral